Molecule: ribosomal RNA, 253 nt
Filed under: uncultured bacterium
Lineage: Bacteria
Description: partial 16S ribosomal RNA
Rfam family: Bacterial small subunit ribosomal RNA
Source: RNAcentral
UACGUAGGGGCCUAGCGUUGUCCGGAUUUAUUGGGCGUAAAGGGCUCGUAGGCGGUUUGUCGCGUCGGGAGUGAAAUCCACUGGCUUAACUGGUGGCUUGCUUUCGAUACGGGCAGACUGGAGGUAUGCAGGGGAGAACGGAAUUCCUGGUGUAGCGGUGAAAUGCGCAGAUAUCAGGAGGAGCACCGGUGGCGAAGGCGGUUCUCUGGGCAUGUCCUGACGCUGAGGAGCGAAAGUGUGGGGAGCGAACAGG